Non-coding RNA from Peromyscus maniculatus bairdii (prairie deer mouse), 1029 nucleotides. Lineage: Eukaryota; Metazoa; Chordata; Mammalia; Rodentia; Cricetidae. The record is from RefSeq and is a predicted model, not a curated record.
AGCAAUCAGUUGUGAGUUGCACCUUCUUUGGCAUGAGGGGUUGAGAAACUAGAGAAUGGGAAGACUGGACGGCGAUCUGUCACUAUUUUGGGCAUUGGAAGUUAAGAAAUAUUGUCUCUGCAGCCAAAACCAAGAUGAGUUGAAGUGAUAUCCUGGACAACUUGGAAAUAUUCCCCUUUCCAUCCAUGGAGCUGAGUAGCAGAGAAAAUGGCCAGGACUGAGGAGACCUGAAUAAGGUUUACACAACUUACCCCUCUGUUCCGAGAAGACUGUGGGGACAGAAGGGUGAAAUGGAGCAGAAAGCCAGCGGAGGUCAGAUGGGUCACAUGGCUGGAGUAAAGAGCAGUCAUCCACAGGUGCCAUAAGGCGGGAGGUAGAAAUGCCAUGACGAUGAGCAAGUGUAUGGUGGAGAAGUGGAAGAGAAUGAUGAAUUGAAUGGCGUGUGUGCUGUGGUCAGAGGCAGUUCUGAAGAAGUGAAGGCCAUGAGAAAUGGGCUGACUGGCGACCCGCUUGCCACCUGGGUGAAUCUGGGCCUGGGGCCAUGUCUGGGUCCGUGUUUCUACCGCAGCUGGGGUCUAUGUUGAUGUUCUCCAUCCAUGUUGCCUCCAACGCCUUGGAAUGCCUGGGGUAUGGGCCACCACCUCUGGCUGUCUUGGUGUCCCAGGGCCUCACUGCUGGGGUCAUGUUGAUCUGAAUGGCCUGUGCUGCCACCCAGGGCAGUGGUGACAUCAGAACCCCUGCUAAGGUGUGAGGUCAUGUCUGGGUCUGUGACCCUACAUCAGCCAAAGGGAGUGGUCUUGAGGAACAAUAGCCAGAAGAUCUCCAUCACUUGGGGAAACAGCAGGAUAUCCAAGAGGAGUUAUAGUGAAGGUCCAGUGAUGGUGUGCCAGAGGCCUUGAAGGAGACCAUUGAUUCAUUGCAAUGAACAUUUUGCUGGUGGGGAUGACUGGACAAAAAGGCCUACCGUGGGACACACCAUGGCUCCUGAUGCCACUAGGAUGAAUGAGGAGGUGUUGGAAAGACAGAGGA